AUUCCAGGAUCAACGGAAAAACAUGAUCCCUGAAUCGAACUUUCACCGACAGCCCCUUUCAAACUUUACAUCCUGAAGUCAACUCUGCUCGCAAGCGAUUCCAAAGGAAGCGACUUUGUACCUGGGACGGUGUGAUACCCACGAUGGCAAUAGUGGGGAGGUGGAGGAGGAGGGGGGGCCGAGGUAUCGGUGGCGCCCAGCGGAGGCGCCGGCUGGGGGUAGCCGAUCGCCGGCUGCUGGUGCGGCGGGUUCGGCGGGGGGUAGUUGGCGACGCCUUGGAAGGUGCCGUACUGGUGCUGGUAGUCGCCGCUCGGGACGCCCCUGUUUCGGUCUUCGUUUGUGUAAGGCCCAGACACCCUUGCCUAAGGCUGGCAUGGGUAUUGCCACGGAAAAAAAAAAUUAUAAAAAUUAUUAAAAAUUGCAAAAAUUUAGGAUACCCAUGUCCAUAUCAACAAUUUUUUGCUAAAAUCUAAAAAAAUGACUGUGUUGGCAAAUUGUCAAAAUAUUUAAGAUUGGAUUGACAAAAUUGAAAAAUAUAAAACUAAAUUGACAUAUUUACAACAUGUUUAGAACUUCUUUUUUUGAAAUGAUAUUCAUGUUGUGUUGUGCAAAUAUAUGUCAAACAACAUGGUCGCAUGCAAGUUUUAUUUGAUGUUCGCUUUUGUAGAGUAAGAUAUCCCUUGUAUAUCAAAAUAAGCAUAUUUAAAGGACUUGAGAUGUAUUAACAUCUUUGAUUACCAAAAAAAAAAAAAAACAUCUUUGAUUGCCAAAACUCAAAACGGGGAAGCAUUAAUUUCCAAUAGAAAGGACAAUAAAUUCAAAUGUUCUAAAACUCCAUCAGAAACAGCAUCGACCAACGGACGAGACCAAGCGAGUGUUAAUGAAUAUGAAUAGAUUAGUGCCACAAAGAGUGAUAGCAUGAAGAUGUGCAUACCAUAGGUUUGGGAGGAUUGAUGCAAGGAGGGCAAGAGACGGGGCUUGAUGUCGUCGAAGAUGGUGAUAGGCUUGGAGUUGGCUUCCUUGAGCAACCGCGAGUUCUCCUUGAGGUCACCGAACAGGAAGGUGUAGGGUUUGCCGUAAAGGCCUUGCUAUCUCAGGAGCCUCUCCAGCCUCUUCGGCCUCAACCACACCGAGUUCACUGCCCUCCAUGCCCAUGUGGUCAGGACAGCCAGAACCGCCGCUACUGCAAUUGACUGGAUUGACACCUCCAUGUUUUCUUCUUCUUUGUGUGCGUAUUUGUUUGUCUGUACAUGGGUCUGCUGUCUCCAUGAGAGAGAGAGAGAGAGAGAGGGACCUCAAUGUGAUGAUAAUGUUGGGCAAGGACGAUUUUGUGGUGUCGUGUUUAUAUAGCCAUGGCCCAUACAUAGCCAUGUGUAUGUUGGCCAAGAAGCUUCUUGACCGUGACCCGAAUCAAAAUGAAAGAAAAAUAGAAGGAAGCCCAAAAUAGAAUGAAGAAAAAAGUAUUCACCGCUCAAUGCUAGGAUGAGUAUAGCACACAUAUUGAAUCAAAUAUAGAUUAUUGAAAAUGAUGCAUUUAUAUUGGGUGUUUCUGGACCACCUCAAUAAUCUUCUCUUCACACAUCGAGCCUAGUUUAGAGGCACAAUAACUCAUAACUCUCUCAUAUAAUUGUUGGAUCCAAAUUUGUUGGAUACUAGUGUUGAGUAGUUUUAGACCUCUCUCAACCAAAAAGUUAGUUCAAGAGGUGAGACUUUCCCUUACACUAAUAAACUAACCACCAAUCAAGAACAACCUCAACAGUCUCAUGUGGCAGUAGAAUAUUCAAUUUAGGACAAGUACAAUGAAUAAUUUCUCAAAGGGACGGAGUCUCUCCUUUGCUGGCAAGACUUGUUAUGGAGGAAGGAAAAACUUCGGAUUCAUAUUAUGUCCAACGAGACGGUGUAAAAAGCCUUUGGCAAGUGUUGUAUCAAAUUCGAAAUAACUGUACCUAAUAAAUAAUUUUGCAACAGUGUUUGAUGGUAAAAUCCUUAGCCCAAAAGCAUUUGAAAAAAUCUAAGAGAAGCUCGACUCCCAGUGGUCAUUAUUAAUUACUUUUCUUCUCUCUUUUUCCCCCUUUUUAAAAGGGCUCGGAUGCUAAUCACAUGCCACGCAAUUGAAGGUCAAACAAGAAAUCAAGAACCUGGUCUCCAGGCAAAGUAGUGUUUUCUAUCCAAAGCAAGCACAUAUUUUUUUCCUUUUUGGUGGGAUUUAGAUUUGAUUUUCGUCACCAGCCUUACCAAAAUUAUGAGUUACGUCUAAUUAUUGGCUGAAGCAAUUAUCUAUUCUGUGACUUGUAAUUAAGUUUUGUGUGUUGAAAACUUGAAAUUUGAGGUUACACCUACCUUUGGUAUAAUAAAUGACAAUCUCGCUAUUACCAAAACUAGCCAUCUUUUUUUCUUGUUAAUGUCCAACAUUAGAGUGCUUAAAUGGAUCCACCAGCUUAAAUAAUCACUUAUUAUUUUCCAUGUAAUUUCAUAGAUCUAUUAACUAUAUGAGUUUUGGUAUCUCUAACAUACUUGCUACAUAAAAUGGUCGAAUCGUGACCAUUCCAAAUUAUGGUCAACCAAGUGCUUUGUUAGUUUGCUCCUUUUUCACAUGAAAAGAGGCCUAAUACAAAUGCCUCAAUAAUUCUACAUAAGUAUCAUUCGAUAUAAGAUCUAAGAUUUUAAGAUAUUGAAAAAUUAAAACUUCAAUAAUUUUGUGCAUCGUUCCAUAAGAUUGGAGAUAACUUUUCAUAUUGUUCAUAUAGAGCCCCCAUACAAGUUGGGAAGCACAACUGUUAUGGCUACUUAUUCUCCGGACAUUAUUAUGGCACCGAUUAUAGAAUUCUAGAUUGAAGACUGUGAAGAGAUCAUUGCUCAACAUCACUUGUGAUAUAUUGAGUUAAGAUGGGUUAGUGCUUUUACCGCAAUUCCCUAGCGGGACACACAAAUUACUAAUGAGCAUACGCUUAAACUCAUGAUCUUGUGUUUUAGAAACAGCAACUCAUGCCAUUCAGCCACCAACAUCGAUAGGGAAGACUUUAUCAAGAUGUGAUACAUAUGCUUUGUAGAAUUGGGAAAAGGUGAAUUGCCGAUUAUUUUUCCUUGAAAUGCAUGAAUAUAUUGGAGUUUGUUCAUUGUGAAUUCAAAAAAGUUAAAAAUAACUUUUUCUUACCUUUUCAUCAAAAUUUCAAAUUCUAAUAUAUUUUUAAAAUAAUUGUGGAAGAAUUGCCAUAUCAAUGUAACGCAAAUUUUGAAGUUUUCAAGAAUGCUACGUUAUAUAAAGGCCAAAAGGUAAAAUAAUAUGAUUUGACAAAAUUUAAAAAAAAAAUUCUAAGGUUUAGGGAUUUAAGUUAUGCUAACAUUUCUAUUAGUAUCCUUUCGGUAUUAAUAAUUUGUUGUGUUUCCUAAAAUGUCCAUGCAUGUCUUUUUACAUUUUUCAUGCCAAUAAAACCAAUUAGAUGAUCAUAUGUGGAUGGUCAAUUUUCUGCUAUUCUAUUUCUAUCAAAAGAGAAAAAGAAAGAAAACAAUCAAUUGAAAUUUAAGGACGGUGUAGUAAGUAAAUGCCCAAAAAACAGUUUAAGGAAAUCAAUUAAUCUAGCAUGCAAUCAUAAACAGAAGUUAAAUCGAAAGAAAGAAAUCCGUAACUCGUCGGAUUUCUACACAACGCUAGGUAACCCAAAACAGAUAUCGGGAAAUAAAUGGUACAAAACAGAGUCGAAUUGGACAUUGACCACUCAUCGUCUUCAUGUCUUGGGGAUCAUCACCUCCAUGGACCUAUUCUAAACCUAAUCUAAUACUAAGACUAGGUACUUACAAAGUAAAAGAAACAAUCAUGAUUACAAAUAUAUAAAAACGAUCACAAUCCCAAAACAAGCAAGAACAAUCAAGAAACUAGGACAAAAUGUAUAAUUGAUCAACUUUGGCCUCGGAGUCAGCCUUUGUGAUUCAUGCAACAACCACCUAAGACAACUAUCCAAUCUAAUUUUAAAGUGACCUAUAACAAUUGGCCACCGUUUGUGUUAUCGAGUGGCAACCAAUGCUAAAAAGUCCUUAAACGGGUUCUAAGUAUGACCUAGGACUUCUCACAAGAUCAUGCAUUACGCCUAUGCAUAUAUCUAUAAACCACAUGCAUAGUUGAAAGUAAAUAUACAGGCAGGCCAUCGGACCUUGGUUCUUAAUCGAUUAAGCAAGCUUAGUGAGGCAACACUAGAUCACUUAUUCAGUCAUCAAGUGCCAAACAAAAUCACAUGCAUUUCUAACAAUUGAAGAGAUGUUAUGCAUGUAUGACUCAUGUAAUGCCUCAAAAAUUUUAAAUGCAUUUGAGACAUUGAUGACAAGAUGAGGUAUUUUUGACAUAGGUACAUCUCGGUUAUGGGACGCAUUUAAUUGCCAUGGUUAAUUCGGGGCACAUAUCAUGCACUACUAAUGGAUGUUGCAGGCAUUUCAAAUACUGUCAAAACCUCGACGAGUUCAAUGUCAAAUUAAAAGUAAUAGAUGCUAAAAUGGUUAAUGUUGGAGGCAUCAUGUGUACCGAAAUCACUUUGUAAUGCAAAAACAAAUUUUGCGAUAAAUCCAAAAGGAUUUGACAAAGGGUCCUAGAUGGCCUUUUUUAUUUUUUAAGGAUUUUUUACAACAAAGAUUGCGAAAUUUGGAAUAAAUUUCAUGAAGACAACUAAUCCCAAUUCAGCAUUCAAGAUAUCCCAAAAAUUCUAAAAGAGAAUCGCAGGAAGAAUCAACAGGACAAUGAAAAUUAGAAAAAUUAGAAUAGGACCUAUGGGUAAUUGGCCCUAAGAAAUUUACAAAACAUGAAGCACACAAUAAGAAAAAAAAAUUGUGAAGGAAGUUUCUUAAGAUGAGCUACAUAUGAAUUUAUAAAAAUUCAAGAACACGUAGAAUGACAUUGGAAACAGAACAGGGCAGCUAGACAUCAUGGCAAAUCAACAAUAAUUUAUCCUGGUAGAUGAUGUCUAAAAAUUUGAAAUUUCACCGCGAUAUAGACAUGAGAAAGACAAACAAGUUUCAUUAAGGACCCGAUCCCAAAAUGCUUACUGAAAAAUCCAUCGAAAAAAUAAAAAGUUCUGACUCAACAAAGGCAGAAUGAGCAUUCCGAAUUUUACUCAUAUCAAAUUUCAAGGCAAACUUUGCAAAAAUGGAAAACUAAUCAAAUGAUGCAAAUUUAGUGUCAUUAGAAAGAUUAGGAUGUUCCAUAAGACUUUCUAAGAAACGUCAAGUUCAAUUAGGGUCAAAUUCGUGGUCAAACAGUGACAAUUGCAAAAGUGUGCAAAUCAGUCAUAAGAUUGGCAGAACACGAUGCAUGAUAAUUGGCUUGUUAAGCUACUUAAACAAUACAUGAAAAUUGUAGAAUUCGAACAUACUGUAGGGCUAAAUGUGAUGAUCAAGUUUGGUUAAGACAUUUAGCCCUAAAUCCAUGUACAAAAAGUCACACAAGUUCAUUAACAUUGACGGGCGACUUACCAUUAAAGAACACUCAUGACAAAAUGCACGAUAAUUUCGGUUGUGACAUGUCAACUUGGUGCAUGGCUUUCAUAUAGGAAAUGAUCUUCAAGUGAGGCAUGCCAUACAUCAUUACGAAGCUUGUGAUAUGCUCUAAAUAUGUCUAGAAGACAUCAUACACUAGUUUCCCUUUUAAGGAGCUCAAACGAAAAUGUUUUUACGGAUACAUUAUCAGUCAAAUGCAGCAAGGGUUAUAUAGAAUAUAAAUCGUUUCCAAUAAUCUAAUGACAUGUGAAAGUUCUACAAAAAUUCUUACAGAUAAAAUGCAAUGCCAUGAUUAUUUUUCGUGAUGACUCCAAAGUCUACUUUGAUUUACAAAAGACUACACGAAAAUGAGAAAGCAAGAUAAUGUUAUCAACGUCACAAAAUGCAGCAGUUCGAACAUCUCUUCACACAAGUGAUUGACCUAAUAAAAAACAAUCAUUUGACACAAAUUGUACUUAGUUAGAAAGCUUAUGAUAUAUACUACAACUUUUGUGAAGGAUGGAAAUCCAAUCCAACAAGUUUACCACCUCAUUUUAGAGCAAAUAUGAGUUGGACUUGUAAUAGCAUUGGUCAACAAAGUCAAAGGAGAUAAAAUAAAAUAAAAAUUAAAAAAAAACGAAGAAGAAGAAAGGGGGUUGAAAAGUCAAAAGCAAAAUAAGUGAGCAUGGGACACUCAUUCUUUUAAGAGCUCAAAACAGUUCGAGAAAAGAAAAGGAAGUGGAAAGAAAAGGAAGAAGAAAGUAAAGGGGAGAAGAGAAAGGGCUUGUAAGUUUACCAACUUGACUAUGUAAUGCAAUGCCCAGUAACUACUCGCGCUCCUCAUUCAUCCAAUCAAGGUAGUUUUCAAAAAUAGGGGAAAAUUUUGAAGUUAUGUGGAAAUUGAGCCGUGAAGUCCGAUUUUUGGGUUGUGAAGUUUUGGGUUUUCGUGGAAAUGAUGAAGUUUUGGGUUUUGACAAGAGUCGUUUUGAUGCAAUGGUUUUGUGGAAGCGAGAUUUUAGGGUUCUAGGACCAAGUUCCAUGUUGAGUUUUGAUUUAAAUAAUUGUUUUAGAUGAGCAAUUUGUUGAUGCGUAAAAGUUAUUUUGUUGGUGUUUAAGUUUAGUUAGCCAAGUGUAGUUGAGAUAACAUUUUACUUGGUUUUGAUACUAUUUCUCACUUAUACUAUAAGAAUGUGAGUUCGUGGGAUUGACUGAGCAUUGUUAUUUGGUUUGGGGCAUAUUAGGUGAAUGGUGCUAAAUGUUGUACGAAUUUGUGAACUUAUAUCUUGAAAAUGGUAGAGAUUUGAGAUAUUAUAAGUAACGAAGGAGUAUGUUUAUUGCAUAAAAAUCUGGAUAAGCCAAUUAUUACAUUUUAGUAUUGGUGAAUGAUUUGAGAAAGAUUUUAUGAAAGAUAUUUUGUCGUAAAUAUGAUUUGUGAAAGAAAUUUUGAAAUUGUUCGAGAAUGGUUUUAAGAAAAAUGUUGUGAACACAUUAUUAGCUUAUGCAAUGAGCCUAUAACGAUUUAAAAAACUUUUUGUAAAAGGCGCUUGAAAUGUCAAGGGUUUAUGAAAUGGAUUUCAAAAUGUUAUGAAAAAUGUCCUGUGAAGUAUAUUUUAUUUUAUGGAUUGAAUUAUGAAAAUUUAUAUGUUUGGUUUAUAAAUUGAAUUUCUAGAUAUUGAAGGAUGUGAGUUUGGUGCUCAAUAUCGUUGUGAACUUAUGGAGGGGCUGUGGGUAUGCAUAUUAGGUUUAAGAUAUCUUUUUAGAUUGAGCCAAUGGCUUUGUAAGUACAGACCUUGCUAAAAUGGUCUUCUUGAUCGCAUUAUCACAAGGCAUUAUGUCAUGAUAUAAUUUGAUAUUAAGUGAAAGAUUGGAUUGACCUGAUCAUUGAUAUUUGAAUCAUGACAGUAGAUUUAAAUGUGUAUUUCUAACAUGUACAAAACUUUGUUGAAAUGAGUAUACUUAAUUUGAUAUGUAUAUUAAUGAGUUGGAUUAUGAACUACUGGUUAUGCUUUAUACUUAUAUAUAUGCAUAGUAGCUACUUGAUCUGCUUAGACGAUAUGUACUAUUCACUGAGCUUGUGGUUACUCAUCCCUCUCUUUUUCAAUCUUUUUGGGUCCUUUAGUUAGAGGCCAUUAGAGAGAAAGUGUUAUUGUGGGGGGCCUAGAUUUUGGCGGUUUGAGGCUGUGUCCUUCAGGUGGAAAGACGGUCAUAUCAUACCUAUCUCUAUAGGAUUCGUAGUUUGACAUCAUGUAGUAUUUGAGUCAACUCUUGCAACGUGUGGAGCCAUAGCGAGAGUGAUGUGCCUAAGGGGUGGAGAAUGUAACAACUCAUACUCAUGACAAUAUAUAGGGAUGGCAAGGCGGUUGCGUCUCGACAAUACACCAGUAAGGUUAAGUGCAUGUCUCCUAUCUCACAUCACUAAAGGGUGGAGAGUGCGGCGGUGCAUGAGGAGGAGGGAUGGUGGUGCAUCCACACCUCGGUCUCUAGAUGUUUGCAGGGAGGGAACGCGUCUCUUAUCCCACGUCGCCUUAGGAAAGUCUUGAACUAGAUCAAUUCUAGGUUCUCUAUCUGUAUAUAUGCAUUUUUUAGACGAAGCCCAGAAAAACAAAAAUGUGAAGGUCCAAUGGGGUUCAAAGUAGACAAUAUGUGUAUAGUGAUGAAUUUAGGAUGUUACAAGUAGUAUCAAAACCGACUCUCGACCACUUAUGGGGCUACAGUGAGGAUGGUGUGCUCCUAAGGGUUGGUGAAAAGUGUGACAGCCCAAGCGGCAUUGCGUGGGAAGGAGGGACAGCAGUGCAUCCACACCUCGGUCUUGGACAUACACAGGGAGGGGGUGCGUCUCUUGUCCUAGAUUGCCUAGGGGGAGUCCUGGACUAGCUUAUAAGGUUUUGGGUUCUCUAUCUAUACAUACACAUUUUCUGGGCGAAGCCCAAAGGAACAAAACUAUGAGAGUCCAAUGGGCUCAAAGUGGAUAAUAUGUAUAGAUUGACGAACCCAGGGUGUUACAAACUCGAACAGGACAAAACAACAUAGUGACGUUAUUAUGAGAUUUAACCUAAUCAGAUUUCCUUCAAAAAUUCUAGAAAAAAAAUGUUAUACCAACAUGAUUUUGUACAAUUUCCGUGGAGAAACCAUCUCCAAAAUCUCAACACAAAAAUCAGUAGAAAGUUAGAAAGAAAAAUAUGUUCAAAAACCAAAAUACCAUAAUAUCAUGAAAAUCCAGCAGGAUCAUCCAACUUCCAAGAUGCAAUUUAGGUGUCAAACAAACUCCAUUUGAGGCCCAUAAUAAAUCAAAUUGAAACUUGAGACAAAUAACGAGGUUUAGGACCUCAGGUCAGCCCUAAUAUAGAGUCACUUUCGAGCAUGUGAUUUUUGCAGAACUAGGUAGAUUAUGUAAAAUCAUGUUCAAUCUCAGCUUUAAUCAACACAACGUCAUCAACUAUCAUAACAUAACAUCCAAAUCACAAAUUUAACCAUGAGAUAUAGUUCUAGGGUUCGAGUCUUGGCCCCAAUCAACUAGCUCAAUCUCAUUUCAUCAUAUUCAAGUUUUGAUUGUUUACCUUUGUGUGAUUUCAACGAAACGAGCUCGAUUGAUUGACAACCUAAACUAUGGAAUGGAUCACAAACAUCAAGGAUUGUUGAAGGGAUGCCAUGGAUGGUUGGAUGGACCGGAUUGGCAUUGAUCAAGCCCCCAAUCAGUGGCUGGACAGAAUCGAUUUGUUUUGAAUCAGUUCAAGCCACCAACAUGAGAUUGGCCAAUUGGAGGACCUCCAAUGGUAGCUAAGUGGUUUUUCGGUCACCUGGUUCUUCAAGAUAGGUUAAAGGAGACGAUCUGAGGUGGGGCAAUGUUGAGGGAUGCCAAUUGGUCGUCGCGACUAGCCGCUAUACUGACAACUGGAAUCGCUAGCACUCUCACUGGUGAUUGGUCCAAUCGGUUGAUCGGACUGAUCGAGGAGCUCCGGCAAUCAUUGGGGCUCCAAGCAGCGAAAAUGGGAGAAGAAAGGAGCUGGUGGAGCUGGUGGAUCUUGGUACUCAACUUGCCGGGGUUCCACGUGAGCCAUGGUCGACACAGCAAUCUGUGAGCGCAAGAGAGAGAGAAAGGGAAAGAGAAGUGAUGGGAAAGAGAGAGGAGAGAGUUUUUGAGAGAGAAAUUCAUGUUCAGAUCUUAAAAAAAAAACAAAUAAUAAAAAAACUCCCCCAAAGUUUUGGACGGAAAAAUCUUAUAUAGUCCCCCUUUAAGAUCAAAUUUUGGUUGUCGAUUUGAUUUGAUAGCCGAAACUUGAUCGAAUGACCUAAUUAAGUUUAUUAUGGAUUAAGUCAAAAUAUAUCGCAUGACCAUCCGAAUGGUGUCAAUGUACCAAAAUCAAAAGUUUAAAUAGAAUUUGCGAUUAAGGCCUAAUUAAAGGUACAUUUGUAAUUUCACAUAAUCCAUGGAUAUUUUCGCAAAAUAUGGAAAGUUGAAAAGCAUAAGAAUAAAAUACACACAACGUUAAACUCACUAGUGGUUCUCGGCCACCAAAAGUUGACUGGUGGAGGGCCAAAUCAGCCUCUUCCACUAGUGGCUAGUCAAAUUGAUCAAACCAAUUAGAGGUGUGUAAUGGGAACCGCCCGAACUAAGAACCUCCCUGACCGAACCCCCCGGUUUUGGGCGAUUCACAAAGAGGGUGGUCCAGUUCCUAAUUCUCAUUCUUGAAACCGGUGGCUGGUCGGUUUGGUUCCUACUUAUAAUGUGAGAACUAGUCUAAUCAAACUGACCAGACCAGACCGGUUGAUUAUAUAUAUAUAUAUUAAAUACAUAUUUUUAAAUUUCUUGAUAAACAAACCCUAAUGCCUCCCAAUUUCCCCCGAUUAUAAUGUAUGAAGCAAAUUGGAUUACUUGUUUGGUAGCAGAUGGUGGUCGAAUUGACGUGAUUCAUGCUUUCGAUGCUAAAGAACAAAGAAUCUAAUCUUGAGUGUUGAGCCUUGAGUCUUGAGAGGGGUCACCGUAGAACUUUGUUAGGAUGCUUUGGUUACAAGAUCAUUGGAAUCUAGGUUUAUGGACAAAUUCAGUCGGUGAAGCCCCUUAUGCUCAACUAAUACCAACGGAACCAAUCCUCCUAAGUGAAAAGAGGCAAGCCAAAACCUACUCCCAACAAGUUGUAUCCCAAGUCAAGCCUUGGAAGAAAGGAAAUGAGAAAUCAUUAAUGCGAGAACUUCAGGUAAAAAGGAGAAUUAGCCUUUCAAGAUACUGACCUAGCAUUCAUUGCAAGACUUGUCAGCAUAAUCUCAAGGCAACGCCUUAUCCCUCUCCUGCUAAAGAACUACUCUUUCAUGGAGGAUUGAGAGAAUAGAAAGGCCAUUUACCUUUGCUGAUGAACUGUCAUUUCGUUAGUCACAGAGAGUAUAGAGAAAAGCUUGUUGUGUGGAUGAGGAAACUGCCGAGGGACAAGCAGCAAGCUGCAUGUAUUUAUGCACCGUGCCACGAGCAACAAGCUGCAACAUUGUCUAUUUUAUUUUUGGUAUAAAAUAGCAAACUUACCAAUUCCACCAGACCAAAUCAGACCAAACAAGAAUUGACGAUCGAAUCGAUUCCCAGUUUCAUGACCGGUCAGUUCGAUUUCCGGUCCCAAAAUCUUGUGAUUCGUCCCCCCCAGUUUGAUCCACAAUUCCACCUCAAAGCAAGAUCGUAUCAGGAACCGAUCAGUCUUGGGAAUGAUGCAUGCUAGUUCGAUUGAUUCAGUGACGUCUCAAGCAUCUUGGCUGAAGUCCUAAAUUUUAUGUAAUUUAGACCCUCAAGAAUCAAAUUGGAAAGAAAACUUGUUCAAUUAGAGGAAAAUGGCCCGAUUCUAAAUAAAGCAAGCUAAUUAAACCAUAUAAAUGCAAUUCGGUUAUUUUAUAUUGACCUAAUUACUUAAUUAACACGAAAAAUAAUGGACCUGCCUUAUGGGUACAUGCAAUUGGACUUUUUAGGCCAAAUUGGGCAAUUUCAUAUAAUUUCUUGAUCGAAAUCACAAAUUAAUCGAAAUUGAAUUCAAGUAAUAUUGCGAGGCACUUAUUCAAUUAAUUGUUCAUACCUAGGGUAAUCUAUUGUAUCUAAAUUGACUUUGAAUUGAUGUCAUGACUUUUAUGCUAUAAAAUGAAUCGAGGUUUAAUGGAAAAAAUGAACUUUAAUUCGUGAAAUUAAAUUUUAAUCAACUUGAAUUUCUUUAGUUUAUUAGCUUGGUUUUCCUAUAUCCAAAUAUCAAAUAUAUGAUUGGCUUUUAACUUCAACAUUUUGGGUUAAAUCUUUGAAAUUUUUUAAAACUAACUUGGCUAUAGUGAAAUUAGAAUCAUUUUUAUAAUCUUUUUAUGUAAAAAGCCAACUGUUGAUUCAGAAUUGACUUUUGAUCAAUGGAUUGACCAAUAAGUUAACAUAAAAGUCACCGUUUAACUUUUUGUGUUUUCAAUAGAAUUGAAUAGGAAAUUAUUUGAAAAAGACAAGGCAAAAGAAAGAAAUGGAAAAUGACUUUUUUUAUUUUAAGAAAUAUCCGUGACACAUCAUCCCAUGCUAGAGCGAAUUAGCAAAGAUAGCAGUUCGUAAGACAAAAUUAAAAUCCAAUGAUUCCCUACAAGAAUUUCAUCAAGAUCUCACAGAAAUUCCCAUGUAGCAGACCAAAUUCCAGGAUCAACGAAAAAAUUAUCCCCGAAUCAAACUUUCACUAACGGCAAUGGCUCCAUUUGCUUUGGACGAAGCAGUUAAAGGUCUCUAGCACAAAAUAAAGCUGGUGUGGUUCUUCUCCUUUGUGGAGAAAUGUGGUUCAAUUUUUGUAUCCUCUAGUGCACGUUAAAAUCUGAAGAAUAGGGAUAAUAAAGCCAUCUUUACUGGUCAUUGGCCAGAUCAGUACCUGAAAAGAAAUAAACGGGUUUAUUAUAGCACUAGGAAAAGGCAUAGCUUAUCAUCUACUGGGGUUUUUCUGAAAGGAAGAUUCAGAUACAUCCAGCGUCUUGCUGUUAUUAAACUAAAAUAACCAGUCACUUAGUUAAGAGGCCAUUUGAUUACGUUUACGAACACUAAAUUUCUAUUCUUAAACAACAACAUACAAACUUCGAAAAUGGUGUAGUGUGACAUUAUAUCUAUCCACGUAUUUGUCUACACUACAUGUCACCCUGAUCUGUAACUUUUAGUUUGCCUUGCGCAAGAUGACCUGAACACCAUAUCGUGGCUGGAGGAUGAGGACAUUAGAAGGAGCAUGCGCAUAAGAUGGAGAGAGCUCGAACGUGAACUGCUGAAGAAUCAUGGAAAGCGCCAUCUUUGCCUCUAUCAACGCGAAGUUUUGGCCGAUGCAUAUACGAGGGCCCCAUCCGAAUGGAAAGAAGGAGACUUGGUUUUUGGUGGCCUUGGACACUCCCUCGGCAAACCUCUCUGGCUUGAACUCCUCGGCAUCCUCGCCCCAAAGUUCUUUAUCAUGGUGGAUGAGGAGUGUCGGCAUUAAGAGCUGGACUUCCGGCGGUAUGGUCAGCUUCCCGAGUUUUGUUUCAGUAGGAACCUUCCGCCACAGCUCAGUCAACGGUGGAUAUAGCCUCAACACCUCAUUUAAGAUCAUUGUGACCUGAUUGCGACAAAUUCUUAGAAGAAUUCAUAUGGUAGAGAUGCGCACGUAGGAGCAUCUAUGAACGACCACGAUGCUGGAAUGAUAUCAAUAUUCUCGAAGAGACGGAAAUAUAUUGUAAUUUAUCCAGAAAAAGGGACAUGAGGCUAUGUCCAAAAAAUCAGGUUCUUGUGUCGAGAGGAAAUCCAAGUUCAAUUCAAGUGUGCAAAGAAAUUUUCCUGUCAGUUCAUUGUCGUGUUCAUCUUCAUAGGAUAACAUUAUUUUUAGACAAACAUUUCAUCUACUAAGGAUCGGAAAAUCGCAUCCAGUAAUUAUAGAAUGAUCAUCAUGUGUCAUGUGAUAAAAUUGUGAAGAACUCUCUAGAUCGGACCUAUUAUGAGUCCCAUUCUCAACAAAAGAGGAAAAGAGCAUUGAACUUACAAUCUUGAGGUGGCUUAAGCCGUCAGGGUCAGGUUUCCCGCUUCCGAAGAUUUGGAGGACCUCCUCCCUAGCUCGUGCUUGCCAAUCCGAGUGCACACUCAACAAGACCAUGGUCCAAACCAGCAAGACCGAAGUCGUCUCUUGUCCGGCGAUGUAGAAAAGCUUGCACUCCUCGAUCACAUCGUGAAGGCUCAUCCCGACAUUCUCCUUCAUGUUUGACUCCAGCAACAGCCCCAGCAGAUCAUCGCCAGCAGCUUCCCCUUCCCUUAUUGCUUUCUCUCUUCUGCGGAUGAUGUCCAUGAGCAGAGCCCGCACUUCCUUAUCUAUGCUCUUCAUCCUCCUGUUCAUCUUAGUUGGCACAAACCUGCGAAACAUUGAAUCAAAUAGUUGGAUUUUUUUUAGAAUGUCAAGAUUGUAAGCCAUAAGCUCAUUUAGAUUCAAUUAGCUUAAGGAUGAUGAACGAUUUUACCUCCAGCCAGGGAUGUAGACCGACUGAAGGGCUAUUAUCGCGAGCUGGGCUUGUUCCGCCUGAAGUUCGAAGAUCCUUUUGCCUUCUUCGAAGCUACUGCCAAACGCUGUUCGAGAGAUCACCUCACGGGUCAAAUUUUGAAGGUCGACCCAUGCGUCGAUCUCACAGGAUCUCUCUACUGAUACCAAUUUUUCCCAUCUACCAACCAUGUCAGUGCAACUUGAAUAAAAUGCGGGCAACAUAAGCUGCAAAAGCAACAGACCAAAGCAAAGGAGGAUUUAAAAGAGAAAUCCUGAGGCGUCAAUGUGUGUGGUUCAAUUCAGUUGACCAGGGAAUAGUUUCAUGUACCUUCAACUUCUCCAUGUGGAAUGCUGGAUUGAUGAUCUUUCUGUGCCGUGCCCAUUUCUCGCCCUCGUGAUUCACGAGUCCAUCCCCGAGCAACUUCCACAGGGGACUGGAGGCUAGCUUGGGGUAGUCGUUUAUCUUGGAAAAAGAUCUCCUUUAGUUGUUCGGGGUUCGGUAUGGGCACUCUCGGUGUUGGUCCUAUCCACAUGAACGAGUCUUNNNNNNNNNNNNNNNNNNNNNNNNNNNNNNNNNNNNNNNNNNNNNNNNNNNNNNNNNNNNNNNNNNNNNNNNNNNNNNNNNNNNNNNNNNNNNNNNNNNNNNNNNNNNNNNNNNNNNNNNNNNNNNNNNNNNNNNNNNNNNNNNNNNNNNNNNNNNNNNNNNNNNNNNNNNNNNNNNNNNNNNNNNNNNNNNNNNNNNNNNNNNNNNNNNNNNNNNNNNNNNNNNNNNNNNNNNNNNNNNNNNNNNNNNNNNNNNNNNNNNNNNNNNNNNNNNNNNNNNNNNNNNNNNNNNNNNNNNNNNNNNNNNNNNNNNNNNNNNNNNNNNNNNNNNNNNNNNNNNNNNNNNNNNNNNNNNNNNNNNNNNNNNNNNNNNNNNNNNNNNNNNNNGACGAGGCUUGAUGUCAUCGGAGAUGCGAUGGGCUUGAGUUGGCCUCUGUGAGCAACCGCGAGUUCUCCUUGAGGUCACCGAACAGGAAGGUGUAGGGUUUGCCGGAGAGGCCUGCUGUCUCAGGAGCCUCUCGAGCCUUUUCGGCCUCACCCACACCCAGUUCACCACCCUCCAUGCCCAUGUGGUCAGAACGGCCAGAACCAUUGCUAGCCCAAUUGACUGGAUCGAUGCCUCCAUCUUUUCUUCUGCGUGUUUGUAUCUAUUUGUCUAUAUGCUGUGAGAGAGAGACUUCAAUGGUUUGAUGUUGGGCAAGGGCGAUUGUGUGGUGUCGUGUUUAUAUAGCCGUAGCGCAUACAUAGCCGUGGGUGUUGGCCAAGAAGCUUCUUGACCGUGACCAGAGUUGGAAUAAAAAAUGAAAGAAAAAAAGAAAGCAUAACCCAAAAUAAAGAGAAGAAAAGUCUAUUCACCGCUCAAAAUGCGACGAUGAGUAUAGCACACGUAUUAAAUCAUAUACAGAUUAUUGAAAAUAGUACGUCUUAUGAAGAUCCCAUAAGAUCUUGCACUGGAAAAUUCAGUUUAGGACAAGUACAAUGUCUAAUUUCUCAACGGCGAUGGAAUCUCUCCUUUGCUGGCAAGGCAUGUUAUUGGAGAAAGGAAAAUCCUGGGAUUCACAUCUUGUUCAUCGUGAUGGUGUAAAAAGCCUUUGACAAGUGUUGUAUCAAAUUUGAAAUACUUAUGCCUAAUAAAUAAUUUUUCAAUAUAGUUUGACUAUCUGUAGUUUAUCAUCUCCUAAUGUACAUAUAACAUCGACUUGAACGGUUGCGAAUAGAGCAACAGGUUGUCGUUUCGGUUGUUUUCUAGCUUUUGUUCGCUCUUUGGCUGCAACUUUGGCUCGUUCUGGGGAUAGAGGCGAAGAUAAGGCAAGGAGUCAUUGUUACCCGUGCGAGCUCCUUGUUCAUGCAGUAUCUACGUGCAUCGAUUACGUUGGUUAACCUCGUUUUUGCAAAAGCAUAUAGAAGAGGUUCUCCUGAAGCGUUUUUAGCAUGAUCUCUACUAUAACUUAAUUAAUAUCGCCAUGUUCUUGGAAAUAAGUUCAUGCACAUAUUCUAAGAAAAUCCCAUGCCAUUGGAGACAAGUUGUUUUUUUUCUUUUUCUUUUUUAAGUUUUGAGUAUAGGUCCAUAGGGAUUGCCAUGAGAGCAGAUCACUAGACAAGGUGAGAUUCCUUCCAGAAGUUAUUGUAAUUUCAUUGUUCUUUCAAUCCGACUCAUCCUUGUCGAUUUCAAGGUAAGACUCUUUGAAGUUGCCAAACCGCCUAUUUCCACGUUGCAUCCCCCCAUAUGGCCUUUAACUAGGAAUGUGUCACUUUAUUGAAUAUGACUGUGAUCAUGUUAAAUAUGUUGAGUAUCAAUGUUGUCAAGUGCCUAUAUGUCUUUCCGAAUUUAUCCACAUAUUCGACUUUCAAAGAAUUGAUUAGUAAAUGGUGAAAAAGUCCAUUCAUCAUAAUCGAUAGAUUAUUCUCAUAUUUCCAAUAAAAUUUCAAAGUGCUUAAAUGAAUCCACUAACUUAAAUAAUCACUUAUCAUUUUCCAUGUAAUUUCAUAGAUUUAAUUAGCAUAUGAAUUUUGGUAUCUCUAGCAUUACUUGCUACAUAAUAUGUCUACAUAAAAUGGUUGAAUCAUGACCAUUACAAAUAAUGGAUGGACCACGUAUUACGUUAGUUAUCGCUCUUUUUCGCAUAAAAGGAGGCCUAAUACGAAUGCCUCCAUAAUUCUAUAUAACCAUCAUUCAAUAUAAAAUCAAGAUUAUAAGAUAUUGAAAAGUGAGAGCUUCAAUAAUUUCAUACAUUGCCUUGAAGCAAAUUGUCUUGCAUCGUUCUAUAAGAUUAGAGAUAACUUUCCAUAUAUUUCAACCAUUUCAUAUUGAGUCCCAAACAAGUUGAGAAGCACAAUCAUUAUGGAUACUUUCUCUAGACAUUAUUAUGGCACCUAUUAAAAAAUUAUAGGUUGAAGAUUGUGAAGGAAUCUUCACACAGCACCACUUGUGACAUAUUGAGUUAAGGUGGGUGAGUCCUUUUACCUCAACUCUCCAGCAUAACACACAAAUUACUAAUGAGCAUAUGCCUGAACUCACGAUCUUAUGUUCUACAAACAUCAACUCAUGCCAUUCAACCAUCACUAUAGAUAAUAAGGACACUUAUCAAGUUAUGGUACAAGAAUUGAAAAAAGAUCCAUUGCCGUUUAUUUUUCAUUGGAAUGUAUGAAUAUAUUAGAGUUUGUUCAUUACGAAUUCUAACAAGUUAAGAGCAACUUUUUCUUACUUUUCCAUUAAAAUUUAAAAUUCUAAUAUAUAAUUUAAAUAAUUGUGGAAGAAUUACAUGUGCCUUGACACAUCAAUGUAAAGCAAUUUUUGAAGAUUUCAAGCAUUCUACAUUAUAUAAAGAUCAAAAGGAUAGGUGUGAGGUGGCAUGAUUUGAAAAAAAAAAAAAAUCACUCUAUUUCAUUUUUUUAAUUUGAAUGUUUAUAAAUCCUAAAAAGAAAUUAUGUAAAUAUUUUUUAAAUUCUUGUUUUCAAGCUUUUUCAUGGGUCUUGACAAAAGCUAUUUGGAGAUGGUCCACCGAAUGGAUAUAAAACCAAAGACAUGGUGCGAUUUAGCUGUGACGCAUUAAAUCAUGUCUCAUGACGAAUAAGAAAGACACAUCGAGUCAAAAUCUCAAACACUGACAAUUUCCCGUGUAAAACGUCAUCCCCUACGUUUUAAGCCCAAAAGGAUAGGUGCAAGGUGGCAUGAUUUGAAAAAGAAAAACCACUCCAGAUUAUUUUAUUUUGUUAAUUUGAAUGUUUAUAAAACCUAAAAAAAAAAUAUGUGAAUAUUUUUAAAAUUCUUGUUUUCAAGUUUUAAAGCUGUUUGGAGAUGGCCGACCGAAUGGAUAUAAAAUCGGAAACGCAGUGUGAUUUAGCUCGGACGCAUCAAAUUAUGUAUUGUGGCGGGCAAGUAAGAUGCAUCAAGUUAAAAUCUGGAACGCUGACAUAUUCCCCUGUAAAACGUCAUCCCGUACGUAUGCAGGAGCGCCCGCGCGCUGGCAUUUGGCCGAAGAUGGUUCAGCGUCGGCACCAUUGUUAAAAGCAGUUCGACGACACUUUAUAAUCACCAUGUCUUGGACUUCUAGAAAAACGUCUUUUCGAUUAGCAUUUGCUACUUCGACCCAAAGAACACAAAAAAAAAAAAGCUGUUUGCUUGGAAAGCAAGGUGAUCUUGACUCCUCGGUGGCCAAACAGAUUCGGCUCUUUCAUUUUGCAUCCACGGUCCAUAAUUUCAUGAUUAAGUUUCAUGGAGCAACAACAUCUAAAACCGCAAAUUUCUCUUCUUUUUUUUGUUUCCUCUCAAGAAAACAUCUAUGGUCAUAUACUAUCCCAUAACCGAUGACUUGGAACGACUGGGAAAUGAAACAAAGGAAGGCAUGGAAGAAAAUGAAACGAGAAACUGAAAUGACUUACGCAAUGCAAUUCCUGCAUUUGCUCGGAAAAAUUAAAUUAGAAAGAACAUGGCGAUUCCUUUUCUUGUGCUUGCAUUUGUUGGAUUGGAACAUGUUAAAAUGUCUUUAAAAUGGAUAAUGCGAGACAACAAAAAUAAAAGGGUACACUCAAAAUCAUUAUAUGUAAUUAAUUUUCUUAUUAUUUUUCCCCAAGGAAUGGAUUGGCCAUCUUGGCCACACCAUAAGCGGAGCCAUGGACUGGCUAUUCUCCUUGUUCAAUGGAGGAGCACUCCACGUCUUUCCCCAGAACAAAGGCAAUAAAAUCCAAGUAACAAUUCCAUUCCAAACCGAUUCCUUUCUACCAAACAAGGCCUAGUUCUUACAAUUUGACGAAGGAUGAUUUGACCGAAACUAAAAUGGUAUCGCCAUUUUCUUUUGAUGAAAUGUACAAUUGAGUUGAGAGUCUGAGACUUCGGUUCUUGCAUAAGUUCCUAUAGAUUUCUUGGACUAAAAUUGUCUCUAAUCUUCUUUUAACCACAACUUGGACCUUAUGGCAAUCCUUGCCUGUGUCCUUAAGCCGCAAAUACUAGCCAUGAUUAUAAGAGCAUAAUAUUCAAUCAUCAUCCACUGUCAAGCUCACAGAACUCAACUCGAAUCUUCACCCAAAAGAGCAAGAUAAGAUAUUCGAAAUAUCAUCUACCAUUUUCAACCCAUAUAUGUAUUAUUCCAUUUGUUUUAGAAGAUGCCAUGCCGCCACUUGAACUCGAACUGAGAUGCUCUAGCACUACUUUCUAAGAGCAUCGUGUCUACCGAUUUCACCAUAGCAGAAUACUCAAAAUAAUAAUCUAUUAUUAUUUAAUUGUUAAGAUUGAAGGAGUCAAUUCAAUAUUUUUUUUUUCAUUUUCAUUCAAAGUGACGAUAAAAAACUCAUUUCGUUUCAAAAUGGAUUGAAGCGUUCCCCAAACAAAUCUUUAUUUAUCAUUUCAUUUUUUAAUAUUUAUGUGGACCCAUUUAUAUAUAUAUAUAUAUAUAUAUAUAUAUAUAUAUCUUACAGGAUAUUCAGAUGAAAAGGAAAGUAUUGACCAUCAGAUCUAGCUUCACAAUAUAACAUUUCAAAGAAACAUCGCAGACGUAGUCACAUCAACGAUUAUAUACAUACGUCAUGAGGCUCGCCAAUAAAAAAGACAGGAUAACCUUGUUCUUAAUUCCACAAAACGAUCCUUGAAGACUAGGAAUGAUUCCAAAACAUGGACUUCUCGGACCAACACAAUCAUGCUGUUUUCCUUGCUCAUCAGACAGAAGGAAAAUUUGUGAUUAAUUACGGUUGAUAACGUGAUGGCCCCAUCUGUUCAUGUAGUCACCAGCUAUAUCACAUGAACCAUGCCAUUUUCAGAUACCUAUUAUGGCCAUUUGCUAUGAUGUUACCAAUCAUCGGCUUCUCUUGUGACACCAAGGACAAUUGCAAUUGUUGCCAGGAUUGCCUGCAUAUGGACAUUGCAGGAAUUUUCAGUUUUUGUCCAUCACAAAAUGAAUCGAACAUGUACAUGUAAGAGAGGGAUGUAAUGAAAAGCAAAGGCCAGGAUUCAAAAUGGCUCAUAAAUACAGAGGUUUAGAGAUGCAUACAAAAGAUCUAUAUGAAGGAAUGUGCCAGACAAACUUUUUCCCUACUCAAGAAAAUCAUAUAGCAAAGCAUCUACUCUGCAGUCCUGAAGUUCAAUAUCAACAGGGAACAUGGAUUUCAUUUUAGAGGAUAAACUAACAUAGGCAUUGCAAGGAAUAAGAAGUCAUUAGAAGGCCAGACAAAGAUAAGCUAGAAGACAGUAGAGGCUUCCUCAAUUAACAUGUUACGUGGUAUAUUCGGGACAGAAAGAACCAUAUAUACAGCUGUACAUGGGACACCUAUUUGGACAAGGGAGAGAAGCCAAUAACUCAUGUGAUGUAUUACUGAACUGCUCUGAUGGAAGAGGUACAUAGUAAGACAAAUGACGAUAUUAAUUCUACAGAGUACAACAAAGGCAGACAACUAUAGGUGCCAGUAUGCACACCUGAGUGCAUAAGCACACAACAGAGGGUAGGGGCAUGAACAUAUAAAUUACCUGGAAGUAACAAACAAGCCAAUGUAGCUAUUUUUGUGAAUGAUGAAAGAUAGAGACUUACGGCGAUUGUACAAGCGAUAUAUCCAGGCUUUUCCCGGUAGUCUAUCCUUCUGCAGACAAGAAGAAGUAGUCCAAUGUACCAAGGGAUGGCACCAAGGAAGAAGCCAAGGAUAAACCUUCAACAAAGCAGACAUCCUAAAUUAGCUGAUGAUCUUAAACUUAUCGAAAUUAUGAUGAAUAUAAGGCUCAGAUUUCGGUAAAAGAACCAUCACAUGGGAUUUCUCUGGUUUCAAACUUGAAGGCCAGUACCAAUAAGAAUCACAAAAUAUACAAAUGUUGAACUCAUGAAGCAUAAGAAUCUGCUACAUCCAGGCUCAACAAUUGUCACGCAGUCCUUGUAGUUAUAGGGACUGUUGACUCCAUCAUGCUUUGCAGUUGGCUAUGCACUAGCCAAUACGUGAAAUCCAACCCACGAGUAAAGAAAGUAACUUACAGAAACCAUCCAACUCCAAUACCACAGCAAGGCAGCCGUGAUUCUCUUACUGGUCUUCCUUCAGCAACAGCAUAACCUGAAUUUUUUCCGUGAAAUGAAAUCUCCCCCAGUAAAAUAUUGCAAAGCAUACAGAAUGAAGAUCAUCAAUCGUUUUUGUUUCAUCAGGGCAAUCAGUAAAAUCAUCAAUAUGGGCAUACUUCGUUCUCAUUGUUCCCGUAAGUUAUCUAUUUGAGAAAGGUGAAAAGAGGACCGAGGAGAAAAGGUUUCAGAGACACAUUUUCCAAUUUUUGAGUCCUACAGAAUCUGAUCAAGUUUAAAAGGAUACAACAGAUCAUUUCACCACCAACAGUGAAGAAAACCCCGUCAGUCACAGUAUUUGCCGGCUAAAAUUACUCAUCUUCCUCUUGCUGCUCCUAUCUAGACGUAAUUCACAACUGGAAACGCAUCUGAGCACUUAUGGCGAACACAUAGGCGGAGACAUAUUUAUACUCAGUAGACAGCAUUUUACUUGAGACACCAGUGGCUUCCGCAUUUUAUCCGACUUAAACUCUGAGAACCCUGGGACAACACAUCGGGCAAAACAUAUGAUUCUCCUCUGUUUGAGCAUGAUUGACAGCUAAAGCGGCCACGUUCAAAGGAGUCAACAAAACGAGGACAAACGUGCUGGUCCGAUUAAUUUCACAUAAUUUCAACAUCUUCCAAGGACUCCUCUCCUACGCCCCAUACAUCCAAUGUCUCAAAAGAUGAGGAUGCUGAACCUUUCGCCAAAAAACUUAACCCACAGGAUAAACUAUAUCCAUUAAUACAUCAUUCCAUGCUAGAGUGAAUUGACAAAGGUAAGCAUAUUGGCAGUUCAUAAGACAAAAUCAAAAUCCCAAGAUUCCCUAGAAGCAUUCCAUCAUGAUCACACAGAAAUUUCAAAUGCACCACGACCAAAUUCCAGGAUCAACGGAAAAAAAAUGAUCCCUGAAUCGAACUUUCACCGACAGCCCGUUUCAAACUUUACAUCCCGAAGUUAACUCUGCUCGCAAGCGAUUCCAAAGGAAGCGACUUUGUACCUGGGACGGUGUGAUACCCAUGAUGGUAAUAGUGGGGAGGUGGAGGAGGAGGGAGGGCCGAGGUAUCGGUGGCGCCCGGCGGAGGCGCCGGCUGGGGGUAGCCGAUCGCCGGCUGCUGGUGCGGCGGGUUCGGCGGGGGGUAGUUGGCGACGCCUUGGAAGGUGCCGUACUGGUGCUGAUAGUCGCCGCUCGGGACGCCCCUGUUUCGGUCUUCGUUUGUGUAAGGAC
RNAcentral lists this long non-coding RNA (22212 nucleotides) under Eucalyptus grandis. RNAcentral's name for it is "long non-coding RNA (EGRA_LNC003634)". Lineage: Eukaryota; Viridiplantae; Streptophyta; Magnoliopsida; Myrtales; Myrtaceae. The record is from RNAcentral.